Molecule: ribosomal RNA, 313 nt
Filed under: Karenia brevis
Lineage: Eukaryota; Dinophyceae; Gymnodiniales; Kareniaceae
Description: partial Bacterial large subunit ribosomal RNA
Rfam family: Bacterial large subunit ribosomal RNA
Source: RNAcentral
GAAAAGUCCGGGGAUGACUUGUGGAUAGGAGUGAAAGGCUAAUCAAGCUCGGAGAUAGCUGGUUCUCCUCGAAAGCUAUUUAGGUAGCGCCUCGCGUAUUGCCAUUGGGGGUAGAGCACUGUUUGGGCUAGGGGGUCAUCCCGACUUACCAACCCCAUGCAAACUCCGAAUACCAAUGAGUAUGAGCGCGGGAGACACACGGCGGGUGCUAACGUCCGUCGUGGAAAGGGAAACAACCCAGACCGUCAGCUAAGGUCCCAAAGUUACAGUUAAGUGGGAAACGAUGUGGGAAGGCUCAGACAGCUAGGAGGUU